UACGUAGGUGGCAAGCGUUGUCCGGAUUUACUGGGUGUAAAGGGCGUGCGGCCGGAGAGACAAGUCAGAUGUGAAAUCCACGGGCUCAACCCGUGAACUGCAUUUGAAACUGUUUCCCUUGAGUGUCGGAGAGGUAAUCGGAAUUCCUUGUGUAGCGGUGAAAUGCGUAGAUAUAAGGAAGAACACCAGUGGCGAAGGCGGAUUACUGGACGAUAACUGACGGUGAGGCGCGAAAGCGUGGGGAGCAAACAGG
RNAcentral lists this ribosomal RNA (253 nucleotides) under uncultured bacterium. RNAcentral's name for it is "partial 16S ribosomal RNA". It matches the Rfam family "Bacterial small subunit ribosomal RNA", at positions 524 to 776 of the family's 1533-position model. The record is from RNAcentral.